RNAcentral lists this ribosomal RNA (305 nucleotides) under uncultured bacterium. Its description in RNAcentral is "bacterial SSU rRNA". It matches the Rfam family "Bacterial small subunit ribosomal RNA", at positions 338 to 660 of the family's 1533-position model. The record is from RNAcentral.
CCUACGGGGGGCAGCAGUGGGGAAUAUUGCACAAUGGGGGAAACCCUGAUGCAGCAACGCCGCGUGAGUGAAGAAGUAUUUCGGUAUGUAAAGCUCUAUCAGCAGGGAAGAAAAUGACGGUACCUGAGUAAGAAGCCCCGGCUAACUACGUGCCAGCAGCCGCGGUAAUACGUAGGGGGCAAGCGUUAUCCGGAUUUACUGGGUGUAAAGGGAGCGUAGACGGCGAUGCAAGUCUGAAGUGAAAGCCCGGGGCUCAACCCCGGGACUGCUUUGGAAACUGUAUGGCUGGAGUGCUGGAGAGGCAA